RNAcentral lists this ribosomal RNA (230 nucleotides) under uncultured bacterium. RNAcentral's name for it is "partial 16S ribosomal RNA". It matches the Rfam family "Bacterial small subunit ribosomal RNA", at positions 542 to 772 of the family's 1533-position model. The record is from RNAcentral.
UAUCCGGAUUUAUUGGGUUUAAAGGGUGCGCAGGCGGCCUGUUAACUCAGCGGUAAAAUUGCGGGCCUCAACCUCGUCGAGCCGUUGAAACUGGGUGUCUUGAGUGGGCGAGAAGUACGCGGAAUGCGUGGUGUAGCGGUGAAAUGCAUAGAUAUCACGCAGAACUCCGAUUGCGAAGGCAGCGUACCGGCGCCCAACUGACGCUGAAGCACGAAGGCGUGGGUAUCGAA